This 495-nucleotide ribosomal RNA is filed under the name uncultured bacterium. RNAcentral describes it as "partial 16S ribosomal RNA". It matches the Rfam family "Bacterial small subunit ribosomal RNA", at positions 28 to 507 of the family's 1533-position model. The record is from RNAcentral.
GACGAACGCUGGCGGCGUGCCUAAUACAUGCAAGUAGAACGCUGAAGGAGGAGCUUGCUUCUCCGGAUGAGUUGCGAACGGGUGAGUAACGCGUAGGUAACCUGCCUGGUAGCGGGGGAUAACUAUUGGAAACGAUAGCUAAUACCGCAUAACAGUAGAUGUUGCAUGACAUUUGCUUAAAAGGUGCAAUUGCAUCACUACCAGAUGGACCUGCGUUGUAUUAGCUAGUUGGUGAGGUAACGGCUCACCAAGGCGAUGAUACAUAGCCGACCUGAGAGGGUGAUCGGCCACACUGGGACUGAGACACGGCCCAGACUCCUACGGGAGGCAGCAGUAGGGAAUCUUCGGCAAUGGACGGAAGUCUGACCGAGCAACGCCGCGUGAGUGAAGAAGGUUUUCGGAUCGUAAAGCUCUGUUGUAAGAGAAGAACGAGUGUGAGAGUGGAAAGUUCACACUGUGACGGUAUCUGACCAGAAAGGGACGGCUAACUACGUG